GUUUUCAACAUGUUAUUUAUUGCUGAUUGAAGAAAAAGAUGUAUAAUAAAUAGGGAUAUGUAUGUAAAGAAAUAAUUAAUAUAGUUGAAAAUAGAAAAGGAGUCUUAUAAAAAGGGAUAAAAAAAUUCUCAAAAUUGUCUUAUAAUUAUAAGGACGGAGGUAGUAGUUACUUUUAGUUUUUAUUAUAUCUAUAAGUAACAUGAUUCAAGGGAUGGGAAUCACAUUUGAAAGAAUGGGAACAUGAUGAGGGUUCCUGGUACCUGAUAGAUCUUUCAGGUUCUGCAGUAGCAUUUUUACUCUGAGGCAGAUCCUUUUGGUUUUUGUGUGACUUUGGCAUGAAUGUCUGCUUUUAUGAGGAGGUUGUGCUUUGUGUUAUUUAGGCUUUACUUGUCCAGCGUGGUUGCAAUCUUCAAUUUCUGGCCGAGCUUGAAGUUUUGUUUCGAAUUUUUAUCGGCUUAGUUAAGUCCGGUCUGCUGCUAUUGUGUGUCUUUAGUGGGUAUUGGAUGUUUUGUUUUUCGCUUUCUUGUUGCUAGUAGCAAGUGUUGGCCUUUUUGUGAGACUAGAAUGUAUGUCUUAGGUGUUGUUUUUUCUUGUGGGAGGCCAUGUUGUUCUAGUUUUAGUAGGUAGUUUAAUUCCUCUCUUUUCCUUAUUGGACUUCUCUAUUGUAAUCUCUUUUCCUUAAUAGGAACUGGUUCAUGAAAGAUAUUAAAACUUGCAUCUUGUUCUUACACUAGUUUUCUUAUAAGUUUAACAUUGGAUUAUACAUCACUGUACUUUUUAAUUAUCAUAUGUGAGC
RNAcentral lists this long non-coding RNA (796 nucleotides) under Medicago truncatula (barrel medic). Its description in RNAcentral is "long non-coding RNA (MTRU_LNC002290)". The record is from RNAcentral. Lineage: Eukaryota; Viridiplantae; Streptophyta; Magnoliopsida; Fabales; Fabaceae.